GGCUCACAGGCGACGACGGGUAGCCGGCCUGAGAGGGCGACCGGCCACACUGGGACUGAGACACGGCCCAGACUCCUACGGGAGGCAGCAGUGGGGAAUAUUGCACAAUGGGCGAAAGCCUGAUGCAGCGACGCCGCGUGAGGGAUGACGGCCUUCGGGUUGUAAACCUCUUUCAGCAGGGAAGAAGCGAAAGUGACGGUACCUGCAGAAGAAGCGCCGGCUAACUACGUGCCAGCAGCCGCGGUAAUACGUAGGGCGCAAGCGUUGUCCGGAAUUAUUGGGCGUAAAGAGCUCGUAGGCGGCUUGUCACGUCGGUUGUGAAAGCCCGGGGCUUAACCCCGGGUCUGCAGUCGAUACGGGCAGGCUAGAGUUCGGUAGGGGAGAUCGGAAUUCCUGGUGUAGCGGUGAAAUGCGCAGAUAUCAGGAGGAACACCGGUGGCGAAGGCGGAUCUCUGGGCCGAUACUGACGCUGAGGAGCGAAAGCGUGGGGAGCGAACAGGAUUAGAUACCCUGGUAGUCCACGCCGUAAACGGUGGGCACUAGGUGUGGGCAACAUUCCACGUUGUCCGUGCCGCAGCUAACGCAUUAAGUGCCCCGC
This 598-nucleotide ribosomal RNA is filed under the name Streptomyces sp. MDRC-135. RNAcentral's name for it is "bacterial SSU rRNA". It matches the Rfam family "Bacterial small subunit ribosomal RNA", at positions 262 to 872 of the family's 1533-position model. Lineage: Bacteria; Bacillati; Actinomycetota; Actinomycetes; Kitasatosporales; Streptomycetaceae. The record is from RNAcentral.